This 491-nucleotide ribosomal RNA is filed under the name uncultured bacterium. Its description in RNAcentral is "partial 16S ribosomal RNA". It matches the Rfam family "Bacterial small subunit ribosomal RNA", at positions 29 to 507 of the family's 1533-position model. The record is from RNAcentral.
AGUGAACGCUGGCGGUAGGCCUAACACAUGCAAGUCGAACGGCAGCACAGUAAGAGCUUGCUCUUAGGGGUGGCGGGGGGCGGCGGGGGGGGGAAUACAUCGAAUCCUCUUUUUUCUGGGGGAUUAACGAGGGAAACCUACGCUUAUUCCGCCAUACACCCACCGGGGGAAGGCAGGGGUCCUUCGAACUUUCGCGGUUUGAUUAAGCGAUGUCGGAUUAGCUAGUUGGCGGGGUAAAGGCCCACCAAGGCGACGAUCCGUAGCUGGUCUGAGAGGAUGAUCAGCCACACUGGAACUGAGACACGGUCCAGACUCCUACGGGAGGCAGCAGUGGGGAAUAUUGGACAAUGGGCGCAAGCCUGAUCCAGCCAUACCGCGUGGGUGAAGAAGGCCUUCGGGUUGUAAAGCCCUUUUGUUGGGAAAGAAAAGCAGCAGGUUAAUACCCCGCUGUUCUGACGGUACCCAAAGAAUAAGCACCGGCUAACUUCGUG